Unclassified non-coding RNA from Otolemur garnettii (small-eared galago), 79 nucleotides. It matches the Rfam family "Y RNA". From Rfam's summary of the family: Y RNAs are components of the Ro ribonucleoprotein particle (Ro RNP), in association with Ro60 and La proteins. The Y RNAs and Ro60 and La proteins are well conserved, but the function of the Ro RNP is not known. In humans the RNA component can be one of four small RNAs -- hY1, hY3, hY4 and hY5. Lineage: Eukaryota; Metazoa; Chordata; Mammalia; Primates; Galagidae. The record is from Ensembl.
GGCUGGUCUGAAAGGAGUGAGUUAUCUCAGUUGACUGUUCAAUCCGUUACCCUUCUCUCUACUACUUGACUAGUCUUAA